GAGUUUGAUCCUGGCUCAGAUUGAACGCUGGCGGCAUGCCUUACACAUGCAAGUCGAACGGCAGCACGGGAGCUUGCUCCUGGUGGCGAGUGGCGAACGGGUGAGUAAUGCAUCGGAACGUAUCCUGGAGUGGGGGAUAACGUAGCGAAAGUUACGCUAAUACCGCAUAUUCUGUGAGCAGGAAAGCGGGGGACCUUCGGGCCUCGCGCUCUUGGAGCGGCCGAUGUCGGAUUAGCUAGUUGGUGAGGUAAAGGCUCACCAAGGCGACGAUCUGUAGCAGGUCUGAGAGGAUGAUCUGCCACACUGGAACUGAGACACGGUCCAGACUCCUACGGGA
RNAcentral lists this ribosomal RNA (337 nucleotides) under bacterium enrichment culture clone ALO1_GLFRUDD03F6XXL. Its description in RNAcentral is "bacterial SSU rRNA". It matches the Rfam family "Bacterial small subunit ribosomal RNA", at positions 9 to 346 of the family's 1533-position model. The record is from RNAcentral.